AACGAACGCUGGCGGCAUGCCUAACACAUGCAAGUCGAACGAGACCUUCGGGUCUAGUGGCGCACGGGUGCGUAACGCGUGGGAACCUGCCUUUAGGUUCGGAAUAACAGUGAGAAAUUACUGCUAAUACCGGAUGAUGUCUUCGGACCAAAGAUUUAUCGCCUUUAGAUGGGCCCGCGUUGGAUUAGCUAGUUGGUGGGGUAAAGGCCUACCAAGGCGACGAUCCAUAGCUGGUCUGAGAGGAUGAUCCGCCACACUGGGACUGAGACACGGCCCAGACUCCUACGGGAGGCAGCAGUGGGAAUUUGACAAUGGCGAAAGCUGAUCCAGCCAUGCCGCGUGAGUGAAGAAGGCCUGUGUAG
This 362-nucleotide ribosomal RNA is filed under the name uncultured bacterium. RNAcentral describes it as "bacterial SSU rRNA". It matches the Rfam family "Bacterial small subunit ribosomal RNA", at positions 29 to 421 of the family's 1533-position model. The record is from RNAcentral.